Phragmites australis (common reed) is the source of this 233-nucleotide long non-coding RNA. RefSeq lists it as uncharacterized. Lineage: Eukaryota; Viridiplantae; Streptophyta; Magnoliopsida; Poales; Poaceae. The record is from RefSeq and is a predicted model, not a curated record. The transcript has 3 exons.
UGAGGCAUAUGUGGAUGUUGAAGACCAUCUUGAUCUUGUAGUGCUCGCCAAAGGAAGAACUUGCAGCGCAACACAAUCAUGUCCAGGACUUCCAGUGCAGAACAGCUUGCACCCUAGCCCUGGAUGCGCCACCGCCAAGAGAGCUUAUUCGAACAGCGCCCGAGAAGAAGGAGCUCCCUUCUGCCGACAUAUAUACUGAUCCACCUUCAUUUUAUCAUAGAUGGCAGAAGUUU